UACGUAGGGUGCAAGCGUUAAUCGGAAUUACUGGGCGUAAAGCGUGCGCAGGCGGUUUUGUAAGUCUGUCGUGAAAUCCCCGGGCUCAACCUGGGAAUUGCGAUGGAGACUGCAAGGCUAGAAUCUGGCAGAGGGGGGUAGAAUUCCACGUGUAGCAGUGAAAUGCGUAGAGAUCGGCAGGAACACCCAGGGGGAAACCAGUCGACUGGGCAUCUACUGACGCUGAGGUGCGAGAGCGUGGGGAGCGAACCGG
RNAcentral lists this ribosomal RNA (253 nucleotides) under uncultured bacterium. RNAcentral describes it as "partial 16S ribosomal RNA". It matches the Rfam family "Bacterial small subunit ribosomal RNA", at positions 524 to 776 of the family's 1533-position model. The record is from RNAcentral.